GAUGAACGCUAGCGGCAGGCUUAAUACAUGCAAGUCGAGGGGCAGCAUGUCCCGACGCAAGUCGGGAUGAUGGCGACCGGCAAACGGGUGCGGAACACGUACAGAACCUUCCUUCGAGCGGGGAAUAGCCCGGAGAAAUCCGGAUUAAUACCCCAUAGUAUGGUGAAGAGGCAUCUCUUUACUAUUAAAGAUUUAUCACUUGAAGAUGGCUGUGCGGCUGAUUAGGUAGUUGGCGGGGUAACGGCCCACCAAGCCUGCGAUCAGUAACUGGUGUGAGAGCACGACCAGUCACACGGGCACUGAGACACGGGCCCGACUCCUACGGGAGGCAGCAGUAAGGAAUAUUGGUCAAUGGACGAAAGUCUGAACCAGCCAUGCCGCGUGGAGGAUGAAGGUCCUCUGGAUUGUAAACUUCUUUUAUAUGGGACGAAAAAAGACCUUUCCAGGUCGUCUGACGGUACCAUAUGAAUAAGCACCGGCUAACUCCGUGC
This 491-nucleotide ribosomal RNA is filed under the name uncultured bacterium. RNAcentral describes it as "bacterial SSU rRNA". It matches the Rfam family "Bacterial small subunit ribosomal RNA", at positions 28 to 508 of the family's 1533-position model. The record is from RNAcentral.